Caenorhabditis elegans is the source of this 504-nucleotide RNA transcript. It is a transcript of the gene named Non-coding transcript of protein-coding gene F35F10.14b, with no coding region annotated. The transcript is spliced from 3 exons. The record is from RefSeq and is marked reviewed. NCBI's taxonomy places the organism in Eukaryota, Metazoa, Nematoda, Chromadorea, Rhabditida, Rhabditidae.
AUGAUAAGUUUUCUCCAAUUUGCCGUCAUUGGGACUAUUAUCUUAAUGGAGCUCCUGCUGAUCUCAAACCCAACUGUACUGGCAAUACACCGGAUGAACUUUUUUGCCGCUUUCGUCUAAGUGAGUUUACCGGAAAAAUCGACAAGCUCAAUAUGAAUAACAAAGACGAGCUGAACGAGUUCAAGACAUCUUGCGAUUCUUUGCAGAAAUGUUUCGCCAAUCUCACCUGAUUUUGCCAAGUGCAGUGACAAAUUGAACGCGAAGAAAUCAGCAUGUUUUGAUGACUGGGGCCCGGUUCCAAAUGGAAUUCAUUCAACACUGGACCAGAAUAAAAUUGAGCAAUUGAAGAAGGACACAUGCAAGACAUAUUUCGGAAAGAAUGACUGCCUCAAGAAGGAAAUCAGUGAAACUUGUAGCCAACAAGAAUGGAACAAGUUCCGUGAGCAAUUCGUCAAUCUAUCUUAUAUGCUUGUCAGCGAAUGCGACUUCAGCAGACUCGGAUAA